AAUUGAUUGAUCAAAACCGAGGGUUUCCUAUUUUCCAUUCUCCCUCCACCACCCAUCUCUCUUUCUCUCUCCUUCAUUUUCUCUCUCUUUCCCUUACCUUACUUUCUCUCCCCUCCAUUCUUUAUCCCUUUCUCUCUCUAACAUUUUCUCUCUCUUCACGGAGAAAAAUCUACGGUGACGUCAAGGUGUAGGGAUAUCGGUAGGGGUUGGUAGAGAUCUGGUAGGGAUUCCCAAGAUGAGCUUCGAUCCAGUUCCUUCUAACUCUCAUCACAAUCUUGAUGCACAGAUCGCUCAGCUUAUGCAGUGCAAACCUCUUUCCGAACAAGAGCAGAGGAAUUUACACCAACAGGAAGGACCAAAAGAGAAAACAAGUAAUCACAUUAGAGGAAAGGUUGACUCCGUGUCGUGCUACUGCAAGGUUGAUGCUAGUUUAAAAACAGUCGUUGGUGCAAGAAAAUUUGUUUCAGGAUCAAAAAUCUGCAUACAACCCGAUAUAAAUCCCCGUGCACACCGAACAAAAAACUCUCGCAGAGAGAGGAACCGUGUCCAAUCACCUCUCUUGCCUGGCCUCCCCGAUGAUCUUGCCGUUGCUUGUCUUAUUCGAGUCCCUCGAGUGGAACACCGAAAACUUCGCCUAGUUUGCAAAAGAUGGCAGCGACUCGUGUCUGGAAACUUCUACUAUUCUCAGAGGAAAAAUCUCGGAAUGGCAGAAGAAUGGGUAUAUGUGAUGAAAAGGGACCGAGAUGGAAAGAUCUCAUGGCAUGCUUUUGAUCCUACUUAUCAGGUUUGGCAACCACUUCCUCCUGUUCCUGGAGAGUAUUCCGAAGCCAGAGGAUUCGGGUGUGCUGUUCUAAGCGGGUGUCAUCUGUACUUGUUCGGAGGUGAAGAUCCGCUGAAGGGUUCUAUGAGACGUGUCGUAUUCUAUAGUGCAAGGACAAACAAAUGGCACGCAGCGCCAAGCAUGUAUCGGAGGCGCCAUUGUUUCGGUUCUUGUGUCAUAGAUAACUGCCUUUAUGUGGCUGGUGGUGAAUGUGAAGGGAUCCAACGGGCUCUCCGUUCAGCCGAGAUGUAUGACCCGAACAAGAACCGAUGGAGUCCCAUUGCCGAGAUGAGCACAGGGAUGGUCCCUUUCAUCGGAGUUGUGUACAACGGAAAAUGGUAUUUAAAAGGAUUACGUACUCAUCGCCAAGUAAUGAGUGAAGUAUAUGAUCCCGAGACCAACACCUGGAACCCUGUGAAUGACGGAAUGGUCGCAAGUUGGCGAAAUCCAAGCACCACCAUGAACGGUCAGCUAUAUUCUAUCGAUUGCAGGGACGGGUGCAAGCUUAGAGUAUACGAUGACGCAACGGAUUCAUGGAUAAAAUUUAUCGACAGUAAACUCCACCUUGGAAGUUCCCGAGCUUUGGAGGCUGCGGCACUUGUUCCCCUUAACGGUAAGCUUUGUAUUAUUCGUAACAACAUGAGCAUCAGUCUAGUUGACGUCUCAAGCCAUGAUAAGCACGUCGAGAGUAACCCGCACCUAUGGGAGAAUGUCGGUGGAAGGGGUCAUUUGAGGACUAUGUUCACUAAUCUAUUAUCAAGCAUAGCCGGCCGAAGUGGUAUAAAAAGCCAUAUUUUGCACUGUCAAGUGCUUCAAGCAUGAGAUUCAACGGACGACAUAUAUAACGUGCUUUUGGGUAUUAGAAUUCAUUCGUUUUAUGUCCAAAAAUGGGUAGGAUCCGUUGAGUGCAAGUCCAUAUAUGCUCAGACGCAGAACCCAAAUUCUUUUACCUUCACAAUGUAUAUUUCACCGAUUCGUGAAGAGAAUUUUGCAUCCAUUCAACAUCGAAGAGAGGAGAAGCGCCCCGAAAUGUAUUAGGUUGUUCUAGAAAAACGAAAAACUAUGGUGAAGUUACCGUGAGGUGCUGCAUCUGUUACUGCAAUUACGACGACAUCUGCAGUUAUGAAACCUUGUGCUAGGGUCUUGUUAUGAUUGCCGACUGCUGUCUUAGUUCGGCGUAAGUACUGGUAUGAAGAUACAGCAAUAUCGUCGUCUACCUUACCUCGAUGUCUUGUAUCAAAGUAAAGUGAUGGAAAUAUUACCCACACGACCAAAACAAACAUGAAAGCAAACUAGCUUAGUUCGUCAUUUUUACUUUGCUACAAUUCUUUUUAUGGAAAAAUUUCUACUAUUUAUUUUCAUAGACACAUUUCAACUCUAUGUAUAUCCACGUACUUCAAAUGAUCUCACUAUUUCUUAAUCUAAAAUUUCAUUAAUGCAAUUUAUUAAGGACUAUGAGAGUACAUACCAUAUUUUCUUGAAAUCCACUUUUAUGCGUUGGAAGACA
Amaranthus tricolor (Joseph's coat) is the source of this 2327-nucleotide RNA transcript. It is a transcript of the gene named F-box/kelch-repeat protein At1g55270-like, with no coding region annotated. NCBI's taxonomy places the organism in Eukaryota, Viridiplantae, Streptophyta, Magnoliopsida, Caryophyllales, Amaranthaceae. The transcript has 4 exons. The record is from RefSeq and is a predicted model, not a curated record.